RNAcentral lists this ribosomal RNA (548 nucleotides) under Ovis aries (sheep). RNAcentral describes it as "partial large subunit ribosomal RNA". It matches the Rfam family "Bacterial large subunit ribosomal RNA", at positions 1817 to 2597 of the family's 2925-position model. Lineage: Eukaryota; Metazoa; Chordata; Mammalia; Artiodactyla; Bovidae. The record is from RNAcentral.
CACCUCCAGCAUCCCCAGUAUUGGAGGCACUGCCUGCCCAGUGACUAGACGUUAAACGGCUGCGGUAUCCUGACCGUGCAAAGGUAGCAUAAUCAUUUGUUCUCUAAAUAAGGACUUGUAUGAAUGGCCACACGAGGGUUUUACUGUCUCUUACUUCCAAUCAGUGAAAUUGACCUCCCCGUGAAGAGGCGGGGAUAAAUCAACAAGACGAGAAGACCCUAUGGAGCUUUAACUAAGUAACUCAAGGAAAAUAAAUUCAACCACCAAGGGAUAACAACACUCCUUAUGAGUUAACAGUUUCGGUUGGGGUGACCUCGGAGAACAGAAAAUCCUCCGAGCGAUUUUAAAGACUAGACUAACAAGUCAAACCAAACCAUCGCUUAUUGAUCCAAAAACUUGAUCAACGGAACAAGUUACCCUAGGGAUAACAGCGCAAUCCUAUUCAAGAGUCCAUAUCGACAAUAGGGUUUACGACCUCGAUGUUGGAUCAGGACAUCCCGAUGGUGCAACCGCUAUCAAAGGUUCGUUUGUUCAACGAUUAAAGUCCU